Molecule: transfer RNA, 83 nt
Organism: Oryctolagus cuniculus (rabbit)
Lineage: Eukaryota; Metazoa; Chordata; Mammalia; Lagomorpha; Leporidae
Rfam family: tRNA
About the family: Transfer RNA (tRNA) molecules are approximately 80 nucleotides in length. Their secondary structure includes four short double-helical elements and three loops (D, anti-codon, and T loops). Further hydrogen bonds mediate the characteristic L-shaped molecular structure. tRNAs have two regions of fundamental functional importance: the anti-codon, which is responsible for specific mRNA codon recognition, and the 3' end, to which the tRNAs corresponding amino acid is attached (by aminoacyl-tRNA synthetases). tRNAs cope with the degeneracy of the genetic code in two manners: having more than one tRNA (with a specific anti-codon) for a particular amino acid; and 'wobble' base-pairing, i.e. permitting non-standard base-pairing at the 3rd anti-codon position.
Source: Rfam
GGUGCUGUGGCGCAGCGGGUUAACGCCCUGGCCUGAAGCGCCAGCAUCCCAUAUGGGCGCUGGUUCGAGACCUGGCUGCUCCA